AGCCGCGGUAAUACGUAGGGAGCGAGCGUUGUCCGGAAUUACUGGGUGUAAAGGGAGCGUAGGCGGGAAGGCAAGUCAGCUGUGAAAUACAUGGGCUUAACCCAUGGACUGCAGUUGAAACUGUUUUUCUUGAGUGAAGUAGAGGUAGGCGGAAUUCUGAGUGUAGCGGUGAAAUGCGUAGAUAUUCGGAGGAACACCAGUGGCGAAGGCGGCCUACUGGGCUUUAACUGACGCUGAGGCUCGAAAGUGUGGGGAGCAAACAGGAUUAGAUACCCUGGUAGUCCACACUGUAAACGAUGAUUGCUAGGUGUGGGAGGUCUGACCCCUUCCGUGCCGCAGUUAACGCAAUAAGCAAUCCACCUGGGGAGUACGAUCGCAAGAUUAAAACUCAAAGGAAUUGACGGGGGCCCGCACAAGCAGUGGAUUAUGUGGUUUAAUUCGAAGCAACGCGAAGAACCUUACCAGGUCUUGACAUCCAACUAACGAGAUAGAGAUAUGUUAGGUGCCCUUCGGGGAAAGUUGAGACAGGUGGUGCAUGGCC
This 541-nucleotide ribosomal RNA is filed under the name uncultured archaeon. RNAcentral describes it as "bacterial SSU rRNA". It matches the Rfam family "Bacterial small subunit ribosomal RNA", at positions 513 to 1050 of the family's 1533-position model. The record is from RNAcentral.